This 324-nucleotide transfer RNA is filed under the name Salmo salar (Atlantic salmon). Its description in RNAcentral is "lncRNA (ENSSSAG00000087523.1)". The stretch from base 127 to 198 matches the Rfam family "tRNA". Lineage: Eukaryota; Metazoa; Chordata; Actinopteri; Salmoniformes; Salmonidae. The record is from RNAcentral.
CGCACUGCUUUGCUUUAUCUUGGCCAGGUUGCAGUUCUCAAUGAGAACUUGUUCUCCACUAGCUUACCUGGUUAAAUAAAGGUGAAAUAAAAUAAAAUAAGAAACAUUUUUAAUCUUUCCCAGAACGGGGAUGUAGCUCAGUGGUAGAGCGCAUGCUUCGCAUGUAUGAGGUCCUGGGUUCAAUCCCCAGCAUCUCCAUUUAAAAUUAUUGCAUUGACCCAACUCCUACUUUACAGAAUGUUGUAAUUCUAAGCAGGAAACAGAGACGUGCUAAAUAAUUUGGUUUUGUAAUCUGAAGAACAUUCCUUCAAUCCCUGUUCGUAC